CCUUGCCAGGGCGCUAAACACAUGCAAGUCGAGCGGAUGACGGGAGCUUGCUCCUUGAUUCAGCGGCGGACGGGUGAGUAAUGCCUAGGAAUCUGCCUGGUAGUGGGGGACAACGUUUCGAAAGGAACGCUAAUACCGCAUACGUCCUACGGGAGAAAGCAGGGGACCUUCGGGCCUUGCGCUAUCAGAUGAGCCUAGGUCGGAUUAGCUAGUUGGUGAGGUAAUGGCUCACCAAGGCGACGAUCCGUAACUGGUCUGAGAGGAUGAUCAGUCACACUGGAACUGAGACACGGUCCAGACUCCUACGGGAGGCAGCAGUGGGGAAUAUUGGACAAUGGGCGAAAGCCUGAUCCAGCCAUGCCGCGUGUGUGAAGAAGGUCUUCGGAUUGUAAAGCACUUUAAGUUGGGAGGAAGGGCAUUAACCUAAUACGUUAGUGUUUUGACGUUACCGACAGAAUAAGCACCGGCUAACUCUGUGCCAGCAGCCGCGGUAAUACAGAGGGUGCAAGCGUUAAUCGGAAUUUACUGGGCGUAAAGCGCGCGUAGUUGUUUUGUUAGCUUGGAUGUGAAAGCCCCGGCUCAAGCUUGGUACUGCAUCCAUACCUGGCAGCUUAGAGUAACCGUAAAAGG
RNAcentral lists this ribosomal RNA (630 nucleotides) under Pseudomonas sp. Its description in RNAcentral is "bacterial SSU rRNA". It matches the Rfam family "Bacterial small subunit ribosomal RNA", at positions 34 to 659 of the family's 1533-position model. The record is from RNAcentral. Lineage: Bacteria; Pseudomonadati; Pseudomonadota; Gammaproteobacteria; Pseudomonadales; Pseudomonadaceae.